Non-coding RNA from Electrophorus electricus (electric eel), 638 nucleotides. The record is from RefSeq and is a predicted model, not a curated record. NCBI's taxonomy places the organism in Eukaryota, Metazoa, Chordata, Actinopteri, Gymnotiformes, Gymnotidae.
GAGAGAGAGAGAGAGAGAGAGAGAGAGAGAGAGAGAGAGAGACUGACCCACAGAUCAGUACACUGUAAACACUGCAGACACAGCUGACUCCAGAAAGAAGGAAGAGGCUGGGAGGAGGUCCUUGCCCUAUGGGGGUGUGGAAGUGGGAGUCGGAAGGAGUACUCAGGCUCACACAUGGAGAGCGUGCCACCACCCAGCAGGAGAGGAGCAGGGUGUGUAAGGGUCAGACGGGUAUUGGUGGGCUGGUAAGAUCAUGAUCUAGAGAUAAGUUGAAAGGCCCUGACACAGAAUGGCCCUGAAAUGCACCAAACAGCUGCUAGCACAGCGCACUCUUCCUGUCGGCCUCAACCUUCAUAACUUCUCUUCAUGUUCUCUGCGGACACGGAUUCCUCUACUUCUGACAUGUGGGAGCUCCCAGUACUUUGGAAGGGUGAAGACUAUGCAAGCUGACCAACUCCACAGCUUUUUCAUGCACCUCAAAAUGCUCAGUGGAGAUGUCUAAAGAUGUAGUAACUGCAGUUCUAGCUUUUGCAUGGCUUAGCAACUGGGGAGAAAAUGUUUGGCUAUGGAUUAUAUUCUAAAGGAUCCCUGCCAACUAGGAUUUGAACACCAUCUGAAUAAUCUCUGCAAUGUUGUGA